GAUGAACGCUAGCUACAGGCUUAACACAUGCAAGUCGAGGGGAAACGACAUCGAAAGCUUGCUUUUGAUGGGCGUCGACCGGCGCACGGGUGAGUAACGCGUAUCCAACCUGCCCAUCACUUGGGAAUAACCUUGCGAAAGUAAGACUAAUACCCAAUGAUAUCCCACGAAGGCAUCGGAAUGGGAUUAAAGAUUUAUCGGUGAUGGAUGGGGAUGCGUCUGAUUAGCUUGUUGGCGGGGUAACGGCCCACCAAGGCAACGAUCAGUAGGGGUUCUGAGAGGAAGGUACACCACAUUGGAACUGAGACACGGUCCAAACUCCUACGGGAGGCAGCAGUGAGGAAUAUUGGUCAAUGGGCGAGAGCCUGAACCAGCCAAGUAGCGUGCAGGAAGACGGCCCUAUGGGUUGUAAACUGCUUUUAUAAGGGAAUAAAGUGGGUCACGUGUGACUUUUUGCAUGUACCUUAUGAAUAAGGACCGGCUAAUUCCGUG
This 492-nucleotide ribosomal RNA is filed under the name uncultured bacterium. Its description in RNAcentral is "partial 16S ribosomal RNA". It matches the Rfam family "Bacterial small subunit ribosomal RNA", at positions 28 to 507 of the family's 1533-position model. The record is from RNAcentral.